AACGAACGCUGGCGGCGUGCUUAACACAUGCAAGUCGAACGCGGAAGGGACUUCGGUCCUGAGUAAAGUGGCGCACGGGUGAGUAACGCGUAGAUAACCUGUCUUCAUGUCUGGAAUAAUACGCCGAAAGGGGUACUAAUACCGGAUAUUCUUGCUUUUCAUAAGUUAUGCAAGCAAAGGUGGCCUCUGCAUAUGCUACUGCAUGAAGAGGGGUCUGCGUACCAUUAGCUAGUAGGUGGGGUAAUGGCCUACCUAGGCGACGAUGGUUAGCGGGGUCUGAGAGGAUGAUCCGCCACACUGGCACUGGAACACGGGCCAGACUCCUGCGGGAGGCAGCAGUGAGGAAUAUUGCGCAAUGGGGGAAACCCUGACGCAGCGACGCCGCGUGAGUGAAGGAAGGCCUUCGGGUCGUAAAGCUCUGUCAAGAGGAAAGAAGUGUACAAUGGCUAAUACCUGUUGUAUUUGACGGUACCUCUAAAGGAAGCACCGGCUAACUCCGUGCCAGCAGCCGC
RNAcentral lists this ribosomal RNA (512 nucleotides) under uncultured bacterium. RNAcentral's name for it is "bacterial SSU rRNA". It matches the Rfam family "Bacterial small subunit ribosomal RNA", at positions 29 to 518 of the family's 1533-position model. The record is from RNAcentral.